GGCACUUGUACCCGUUGCGGCGCAACGAUGCUAAAAGA
This is a non-coding RNA of Photobacterium marinum, 38 nucleotides long. The record is from Rfam. NCBI's taxonomy places the organism in Bacteria, Pseudomonadati, Pseudomonadota, Gammaproteobacteria, Vibrionales, Vibrionaceae.